Molecule: small nucleolar RNA, 138 nt
Organism: Ornithorhynchus anatinus (platypus)
Lineage: Eukaryota; Metazoa; Chordata; Mammalia; Monotremata; Ornithorhynchidae
Source: RefSeq, a predicted model, not a curated record
CUCCUCUCAAGGUCCCACCUGGAGAAUUUCCAGUACUCUACCAAUCUUGACUAUGAGAGGGAGAGUCGAGCAGAGGCCUACCCAUUCCAUUCCUAGCUUGGCCAGUGGCUAGCAAGUGGAAGCCAAUUUGCUACAAGU